AAAGCUUUGUUACUACUGUAACUUUCGCGACAUGACUGAUACUCGCAAGUGCUUCUCCACGAAAUCCAAAUGUUUGUAAAUGUUGUAAAUCAUUAAAAUUAUCAAUUUUAGACGUACUAAACCUCUGGCAUAAAUAAGGAAGAUCAUCAUACUGUUAAAAAUAGCUAGUAAACCAGAGACUAAGUAGAAACUUUAUGAAAGCAACAUUUCACUUACCUGUAUACCAGAUCCAU
Schizosaccharomyces pombe (fission yeast) is the source of this 233-nucleotide non-coding RNA. NCBI's taxonomy places the organism in Eukaryota, Fungi, Ascomycota, Schizosaccharomycetes, Schizosaccharomycetales, Schizosaccharomycetaceae. The record is from the annotation of a GenBank genome assembly.